UUCAAAAUAAAUAAUUACCUUUAAAGUCCCUACACUUAACCAUUUUCAACCAAGCAAGUCACCAAAUAUAACCACUUUUAAAACAAAAAACCACCUUUAAAUUCUCUAUACUUAAUCAUUUUCAACCUACCAAGUCACCUUUAAAGUCACUACACUUAAUAAUUUUCAACCUACAAAGUCACCAUGCAUAACCACUUUAAAAAUAAUAAAUCACCUUUAAAGUC
Molecule: long non-coding RNA, 224 nt
Filed under: Capsicum annuum
Lineage: Eukaryota; Viridiplantae; Streptophyta; Magnoliopsida; Solanales; Solanaceae
Description: long non-coding RNA (CANN_LNC012376)
Source: RNAcentral